RNAcentral lists this long non-coding RNA (526 nucleotides) under Gossypium barbadense (sea-island cotton). Its description in RNAcentral is "long non-coding RNA (GBAR_LNC002751)". Lineage: Eukaryota; Viridiplantae; Streptophyta; Magnoliopsida; Malvales; Malvaceae. The record is from RNAcentral.
UAAAGUCUCUUCACCAUUGUUUCAACAUGAAGGUUUGUAAUAAAAAUUUGUUUCUAUCAGCAUUGCUUUGCAUUGCUAUUGCAGGAGUUUUGGGUCAAGCUCCUAGUAAUCCUCCUACGUCUACGCCGGCGCCACCCACACCACCGGCUUCUACUCCUCCUCCGACGACUCAACCACCGCCUACACCAACCGCCACUCCGCCACCAGUUUCUACUCCUCUUCCCACUUCAUCACCGCCCCCAGUGACAGCUUCUCCACCCCCAGUUUCAACUCCUCCACCCAGUUCUCCUCCUCCCGCAACUCCACCACCUGCUUCUCCACCUCCUGCAACUCCACCUCCAGCUUCUCCACCUCCUGCAACUCCACCUCCAGCUUCUCCACCUCCCGCCACUCCUCCACCAGCAACCCCCCCACCUGCAACUCCUCCUGCUACCCCACCACCAGCUCCAUUGGCUUCUCCUCCAGCCACAGUCCCAGCUAUCUCUCCAGUACAAACACCAUUGACCUCGCCACCAGCUCCGCCGAC